This 367-nucleotide ribosomal RNA is filed under the name uncultured Glomeraceae. RNAcentral describes it as "partial large subunit ribosomal RNA". Lineage: Eukaryota; Fungi; Glomeromycota; Glomeromycetes; Glomerales; Glomeraceae. The record is from RNAcentral.
CAGUCAUACCAACGGGAAAUCAACCUUUUGAGCUCGGUCUCGUGGGUUUUGAAGAGUUUCAAAGCCUUCGGAUUCGCGGGAUUGGGAUCUCUCGGUGUACUUUCUCGUACGGUUAGUCAACAUCGGUUUUGAAUGUCAUAAAAUGACUGGAGGAAUGUAGCUUCGAUCUCGUACUGAAGUGUUAUAGCCUUUGGUAGAUGUGAUGUUUGAGACCGAGGAUUGCAACGGAUACCCUUCAGGGCUAUUCGUCUGAUCUCUGAUACGUUGCCCUGAUGUUGAAAGCUUGCUUAUGAUGUUAGGGUAUUACGGUCAAAAGGUUAGAACGAAUUACAUUCGUUAAGGAUGUUGACGUAAUGACUUUAAACGA